UGGCCAAAAGUAGAAAGGAGAUUAGAAAGAGUUUCUCAGCUUCUUCAUUAGAGUCAUCAUUGGUUAAUUGAGAACUGAUAUGAAUAUGUGUUUGAGUUUGACAUGAUUCUAUACUCAUGAACAUAUUCAGGGUGCAAGGAUGAUCGAAGGAUUGAAUUGCAUGGUAAUUUACCACUGAAGGAUAUAUUUGAUAUUUUCAUCAAAUUUUAUAACUUUUAGGUAGUGAUG
RNAcentral lists this long non-coding RNA (228 nucleotides) under Elaeis guineensis (African oil palm). Its description in RNAcentral is "long non-coding RNA (EGUI_LNC062449)". Lineage: Eukaryota; Viridiplantae; Streptophyta; Magnoliopsida; Arecales; Arecaceae. The record is from RNAcentral.